UUUAAAGCUCCGAGCGAUGACAGGGCGACGGGCGGCAGGCUAGUGUUUGUCUGGCAGGGGCUGGGGAAGGAUGGGUGGUGUGAUUACCCGUUGCGUCCCCUACCAUACCCUGCCGUACCCUGCCAUAACACGCCACGCAGUCCCUUCCUCGGCUAACCUCACGGCCUUCUAGAUAAUAUCACCUCCCCUUCAUCAUUUUGACACAGUGCAUCGUAGUACAUGAAUGGAGCCACACCUGCAUUAUACCUCUCCUUGUUGGACGCUUGGGGGCAUUUAGACCCUCGGCAAUGGAGACAGAUGGUAACCUAACUACUCACUGAAACACUUCUGCGCCGCAUCUCCAUUACUUUCAAUUGGCUGUAGUUAAAUACCAACACACCUGGCCACCUUCAUUAGACUCCCUACACAGCCAGGGAAGUGUGAUGCUGUGUGUUGUUUGCUAGUGAGAGGAAGCCACGUGCCAGCCUUCCAUUUUCUUUUUGGACGGAAGAAAACGUGAAGUGGAAGUCCCGCUGGGGAUGAAGACAACUGCACUAGGAAAGAGCGUGGCGGCCCUGACGUCACUGCCAACGCCCACUACCACCACCACCACCACCACUACCACCUCUACCACUACCACCACCACCACCACCACGGCCACCUCCUCCUCCUCCUCUCACCUGUUCUGUCCGCCGCCUACCUAAGUGCCACUACCACCACCACCACCGCCACCACCGCCCACUACUGCCACCUGACAUACGGCUAUCUCCCUCCUCCUCCUCCUCCUCCUCCUCCUCCUCCUCCUCCUCGUGUCACAGCUCUCUGUCGCCACUCACGCUCCUCACCACCUCGGAACUUCUUCUUAAAAAUAUUGUCCAUCCUCUACUCCAGAAACAAACUUUUUUAAUCCACCUCCUGUAUCCAACAUUCGCGUCUUGCCUCCCUUUGCAUCAACCAUUCAGCCUCGUAGUGUGAAUGAGAGGUGGUGAAUGAUGUCUCGUAUUCUCGUUCCCCUCAGGCACCAACGAGUAAAGACGCUCCGAAUACGCCAGUAGACAAAGAUAUGUGAUUUUAAGAAGCUCGUCAAGACAGAGUAGGAGAGCAAGAAACACACAAAGGUAAAGGUGUAAUAAUGUCACUUCAAGAUAUGCCCUUUUGAAGAGAGAAUUUUUAUCACACACGGAAGCAAUCAGUUACUUACGUGCUCAGUAUAACAUUAAUCCGAUACACACACACACGCACACACACAAAAAGCACAAAGCCAGUUUUUACUUUUAGUCCAACCGAACACGCUACAAACACGCAAACGAGCGACAAGGCACCUUAUUAUCUUCCCUCCUCACCUGUAAUCGCCACCUCAGAUGGAACCUCAGGUAAACAGAGCUAGUCUUACCUGGCGUGAAGCUAACUUCGGGUAACAGGGAACGGUGAGUCGGGGAAAACAGUGAGGAUACGGUGCAGGGGUGUGGGUGGCAUAGAGGACAGAGGGAAGGCAAGGAGAAUGGUGAAACACAAGUGAAUAAGGGAUGCGAAGAUGAAGGUGGUGGAGGCAGGUAAGAUCUGGAGAGACAAAGGGACGGUGGGAGGUAGAGUGGUAAGGGAAAGGACGGAUCAGGUUAAGAGACAAUAUUCGUGGAAAGCUGAAAGUUGGAAGAUGAGAGGCAACGAGGAGGUCCACGAAGUCGCAGCGCAGCUGCCGGGAAGUGAAAGAAAGGCAAGAUGAAGUAUAAUCUUCAGUGUCAAACAAAAAUGCGUUUCUUUUAAAGAGCGCGUACCAGGAAGGGACGGAGUGUCAUCAAGGGAACUGAGGGACGUACGCAGCAGGAGGGCUCGCACCAAGAAGCUGAUUAAAGAAGAGAAGCUCGAGCACUGACAAAGGAAUUGAAAUAUUGAAGAACGAACAGUAAUAAUAACAGAGAAACUUUUCCAAUAAAUAAAGCCAGGACAUCACCGCGCGACACAGAGCACCGAGCCAAACUUUAAAGAAAGACAAGUGAAGCAUACGAGAGGAGAAAAUCGUUGGCAAGAGUUAUGAUACCGACAUGGACGAAAAGAAAACUUUAUAAAAGAACUUAACAAUGACAAAAAUCGGCAAAACCUCAGACCACUCCAAAGAAUAAAACAAAAGGAACUGACAGAAGUAACUGGACACAGCAAGAUCAGCAUAAAAGUUAAGAAGUCCUAGAAUAUAGACAAUGAAAGGCCAAGUGCACUGGAACGCAUGUAGAUGAAAUUGCUGGAACCUGGACAAAGGCGUAAGAGGCGAGACAAAGACAUAAGAAAUACAGUACAGCUAUUAUAGAAAACGAGAGACGGACCUAGAUACACGGACGGAAUUACUGAGACGUGAACAAAGGUGGCGAACAAGGACAGCGACACAGAGGAAGUUACUGGAAAGCUGGAAUUACGAAGAAGAGACACUGGAACGUAAACUGAAUACAGAUUAAUCGAAAAUAAAGAAAAUAAUGGCUGGAAUCAAAGAAAUAUGUGCAAUAUAGAUGAGAACGAAGAGAAGAAAUGAAAAUAAAAAAAAAUAGUACAUAUAAGUGAAUUAAACAAUGAAUGAAUUAAUAAAAUAAUUACCGAAAUAAAAUAAAAAAUCUAUGGAAUAUAAGCGAAAUAUGAACGAAGGGAAGAUAAAAGAAAAUAAAGACUGGAAUAAAAACAAACCCAAGACGAUGUAAAUAAGGAAAAUGGAUAAUGAAUCAAAGCAACUACGAAUAUCAUAAGAAAGAUAUACAGCAGAAAAAUACUAUGAUAAUACGCACGACGAAAAAGCUGGAUUAUAUUUUCUUCCUUGCACGAAGCAGCGAGACAAAUAGAAGGAAAAGACAAAGAAAAUAAAAGAAAAAGAUAAAAUAGAUGCUUAAAAGGCAAAGUGGGUCAGCACGAGACUGAUGAAAACAAGGAUGUUGGAAUAUUGUUUGGCCGGAGCACAAAAGGAUAGAAUUUAAUGAAGGGUUUUAAAAGGAGGAACCUAAUAGGCGAGCAAAUAAGAUUGGAAUUGAUUAUAUUGCCAUUAAUUAAAACAAGGUUAUAUUUGCCUCCAAGCUUUCCAGACUCGGGUCACCAAAACUCACAAAAAGGUGGAAAAAGUGGAAAAUUUUGUUAGUGAAAUUUGUAGACAAUGAAACGUAGAUCAAAACAACAAAUUAAUUACGCCAUUAAAUAUACACAUGAGAAAUUAGAUAAAAUAAUAAAUGAAUUAAAUGAAA
Long non-coding RNA from Scylla paramamosain (green mud crab), 3194 nucleotides. RefSeq lists it as uncharacterized. The record is from RefSeq and is a predicted model, not a curated record. The transcript is spliced from 6 exons. Lineage: Eukaryota; Metazoa; Arthropoda; Malacostraca; Decapoda; Portunidae.